GGAGAACACCGUCAACACCAGUACGAAACACAUCACGCCGCCGCUCUACAGUUUCUGCCUCGGUCAAUACCACGCGUUCAACAGUGCACUGCGCAUUAAAAUUUUAUUUUGCUUCCCUCUUUUUUUUUUCAACGUCUUCUUCUUCUCCUUCUUCUUCUUCUUAUCUUUUAAUUUCUUUUCCUUCCCUCCCUUCUCUCAACCAAAAUAGAUGCUCGUGAUUGUACUACAGGAUCAUCUACAUUGCCGGAGGUAACUGAUGCUGACGGUACACCGUGGGGUAUGGUAAUUCGAUACCAAGGACAAGGCUGCACUUCCACGUAUGGACAAGAAAUAAGCCUCACAGUCCCGCAGUAAGAUUAUCCAGCCGCCGACUAUAUCUAUACAUCGUUUCCAGGGAAACCUUGCGGCAAAUUUUUCUUAUUUCUCUUUCUUUCAAAGGAUCAGGUUUACUGGCCAAGUGACCCUGCUCGAGUGCUCGCCGUUGCUGCGGUUUGUGCUGCCUGGCUGGCUGGGUGGCUGGAUGGCUGGAUGGCUGCCUGGCUCUCUGGAGUAUGGUCACGUGAUCGUCCAGACGGUACGGGGCUUUGGGAUGGCUGCUGGUUGUACAUACCUACAACGUUAUACGUAGU
Molecule: long non-coding RNA, 629 nt
Organism: Neodiprion fabricii
Lineage: Eukaryota; Metazoa; Arthropoda; Insecta; Hymenoptera; Diprionidae
Exons: 3
Source: RefSeq, a predicted model, not a curated record